CGUCAGCCAAUUAAGCUGACUGUGCUCUUUUCCCCGUGGGCUGAAAGUGCAGUGGCUGUAAACUGCAGUCUAAUUGGUAUGCCUGUGCCCUGUUGCUUAUUUAGGUGACCCUAAGUCACCCUGGAGACUGGC
Small nucleolar RNA from Sorex fumeus (smoky shrew), 132 nucleotides. RefSeq annotates it as small nucleolar RNA SNORA70. The record is from RefSeq and is a predicted model, not a curated record. The transcript has a single exon. NCBI's taxonomy places the organism in Eukaryota, Metazoa, Chordata, Mammalia, Eulipotyphla, Soricidae.